GGCAUGUAGCUCAGUUGGUAAAGUGCUUACCUUGAAUGUGCAAGGCCAUGGGUUCAAUCCCCAGCACCA
This 69-nucleotide transfer RNA is filed under the name Marmota monax (woodchuck). RNAcentral describes it as "tRNA.Ser". The record is from RNAcentral. Lineage: Eukaryota; Metazoa; Chordata; Mammalia; Rodentia; Sciuridae.